Molecule: ribosomal RNA, 446 nt
Filed under: uncultured bacterium
Lineage: Bacteria
Description: SSU rRNA
Rfam family: Bacterial small subunit ribosomal RNA
Source: RNAcentral
AGGAUGAACGCUGGCGGUCUGCUUAACACAUGCAAGUCGAACGGAGUAGCAAUACUUAGUGGCGGACGGGUGAGUAACGCGUGAGAAUCUACCUUCAGGACGGAGACAACAGUUGGAAACGACUGCUAACCCCCGAUGUACCGAAAGGGCAAAUAUUUAUAGCCUGAAGAAGAGCUCGCGUCCGAUUAGCUAGUUGGAGAGGUAAAAGCUCACCAAGGCGACGAUCGGUAGCUGGUCUGAGAGGACGAUCAGCCACACUGGGACUGAGACACGGCCCAGACUCCUACGGGAGGCAGCAGUGGGAAUUUCCGCAAUGGGCGAAAGCCUGACGGAGCAAGACCGCGUGGGGGAAGAAGGCUCUUGGGUUGUAAACCCCUUUUCUCUGGGAAGAACGCAAUGACGGUACCAGAGGAAUCAGCAUCGGCUAACUCCGCGCCAGCAGCCGC